GGGGGGAGCAAGCGUUGUUCGGAAUCACUGGGCGUAAAGGGCGUGUAGGCGGUUCGGUAAGUGGGAUGUGAAAUCCCUCGGCUCACCCGAGGACCUGCAUCCCAUACUGCUGAGCUUGAGUACAGGAGAGGGUGGGGGAAUUCCUGGUGUAGCGGUGAAAUGCGUAGAUAUCAGGAGGAACACCGGUGGCGAAGGCGCCCACCUGGCCUGCUACUGACGCUGAGGCGCGAAAGCUAGGGGAGCAAACGGGAUUAGAUACCCCGGUAGUCCUAGCCGUAAACGGUGAUCACUAGGUGUUGGGAGCAUCGACCCUUCCAGUGCCGCAGCUAACGCAUUAAGUGAUCCGCCUGGGGAGUACGGCCGCAAGGUUGAA
Molecule: ribosomal RNA, 373 nt
Filed under: uncultured bacterium
Lineage: Bacteria
Description: bacterial SSU rRNA
Rfam family: Bacterial small subunit ribosomal RNA
Source: RNAcentral